This 468-nucleotide ribosomal RNA is filed under the name uncultured bacterium. RNAcentral's name for it is "partial 16S ribosomal RNA". It matches the Rfam family "Bacterial small subunit ribosomal RNA", at positions 28 to 507 of the family's 1533-position model. The record is from RNAcentral.
GACGAACGCUGGCGGCGUGCUUAACACAUGCAAGUCGAACGGAAAGGCCCUGCUUUUGUGGGGUGCUCGAGUGGCGAACGGGUGAGUAACACGUGAGUAACCUGCCCUUGACUUUGGGAUAACUUCAGGAAACUGGGGCUAAUACCGGCUAGGAGCUCCUGCUGCAUGGUGGGGGUUGGAAAGUUUCGGCGGUGGGGGAUGGACUCGCGGCUUAUCAGCUUGUUGGUGGGGUAGUGGCUUACCAAGGCUUUGACGGGUAGCCGGCCUGGGAGGGUGACCGGCCACAUUGGGACUGAGAUACGGCCCAGACUCCUACGGGAGGCAGCAGUGGGGAAUAUUGCACAAUGGGCGGAAGCCUGAUGCAGCAACGCCGCGUGCGGGAUGACGACCUUCGGGUUGUAAACCGCUUUCGCCUGUGACGAAGCGUGAGUGACGGUAAUGGGUAAAGAAGCACCGGCUAACUACGUG